AAAGCUUCAAGGGUACGCUACUUGCGCUCUCUCCUCGCCUUCAUAAACCCCUCACAGCCCAUUUUCAUAAACCCCUUCACAGUCCCAGAUUCAUAAACCUCACAGCCCGAACCGGAAAAAAAAACCGAAAAAACCUAAACAAGCUGACGAUCUCCAUUUACGCAUGGGAGAUCCUAAAGCGACGUCGUUGCGUUCGCUCCCUCCCGGUUGCCGAUUCUACCCCUCCGAAGAGCAGCUCCUCUGCUGCUACCUCUCGAACAAGAACGACGCCGACCCGGCCCAAUCCGGGGGCUACGAUUUGAUCAGAGAGCUCGACUUGUACGAUCACGAUCCAUUUGACUUACCUGACAGCGCUUGCUAUUCGUACGGUCACGCGGGGAGGAAGAGGCACUGGUUUUGCUACACGGUUAGGGUUUUGAAGGAGAGGAGAGCGAAGAGCGGGUAUUGGAGGAGGAAAGGGAGGGAUAGGGACGUGGUGGGCCGUGGAGGGAAAGCGGUGUUGGGGAGGAGGACGAGCUUUGUAUUUUAUUUGGGGAAUUCGCCCAACACUGCUGUACGGACUGAUUGGGUUCUCUAUCAGUAUGCUCAGGUCGAUCAUGUAAUGGCUUCUUUUGUCCUGUGCCGAGUAUUUGUCAGAUCUCGUGGAAAUAGAUUAUCAUAUAAUGGGGUAAGUUCUUGUGCUGAAGAAAGUGCUUGCACAGUUCGUCACAUUGGAAUUCAGCAUGAUGGAUUUCAUACUCCCAAUAUUGUUGAAACUGAAGUGCAUGGUGACAAUUCUGCGCAUAGGAAGAAUGAGAUGUUAAAUUUUCCAAUGAGACUGGACUGUGAGAUAAAUGACCGAGUCAAGAAUGGGCCAGUUUCUAUAUCAAGACUUCAGCCUAAUGUCCCGUCGUCUGUGCUUGGUGGUAGUAAUCCAAUAUUUCUUGAUGAUUUGGCAACUGAGCAUUUACUUUCCAUUGUAGAGGGUGAUUUCAUAGAGUUGGAUGAUCUCAACGAUUGAUCAUCCAAUUUAGAUGUUAAAGCAAUUGGAUCGUCCUUAUUAAACAGAGUCUUAAAGACUGACUCUCAUAGUGGUGGAUGUUUACCUUAAUUUUAAGGCUAAAUUAUCAGCUGAAGCAACUAUUCUGAGGAGCUAAAUUGUCACUUGAAACAAUUUUCCUGAUACUGCGUUUAGAUACGGAACAAAGGAUGAGAAGGGUCUAAGUACUGAAAACCCUUUACGAAACAUUAAAUGAUGAAACAUACUGUUGGUUGUGAAGGUGAGAGGGAUGAAUGGCAUGUCAACGCCUGUAAAGAUUUGCUCUUUGCCCAAAAAGAGGCAAGGGCUUCACCGGAACAAGAAAGACUAAAAUAUGUCUGAUGAUGGUAAAUUCAAUAUCGAAGCUAUUACUAUUAGUAUCAGCUGCUUCACUGGGUUUCAACCCUGCUGCCUUGUACCUUCCUGUGGUUACUUUGAACUUACGGAAAAAUUAGAUUUUUCCAUCGUCUAGUGCCUUCUCUUCGCAAGGCCUACUUUGCACUCAAAACUACUGGUUUUUAUUUAUUUGAUUCUCUUUCAGAUUGAGUAACUUUGACAUAAUGAUGACAUUCAUUUGAUAAAUUGUCCUUUUACUAUGCAAUCUCUUGAUGCAUGGUUGUGGGAAGUUGUCUAUGGUUUUAGUUGAUCUGGAUUCUAGUUUUUGUUA
This is a non-coding RNA of Prunus avium (sweet cherry), 1685 nucleotides long. NCBI's taxonomy places the organism in Eukaryota, Viridiplantae, Streptophyta, Magnoliopsida, Rosales, Rosaceae. The record is from RefSeq and is a predicted model, not a curated record.